Molecule: ribosomal RNA, 433 nt
Filed under: uncultured bacterium
Lineage: Bacteria
Description: partial 16S ribosomal RNA
Rfam family: Bacterial small subunit ribosomal RNA
Source: RNAcentral
AGCGAACGCUGGCGGCAGGCCUAACACAUGCAAGUCGAACGAACUCUUCGGAGUUAGUGGCGGACGGGUGAGUACCACGUGGGAACGUGCCUUUAGGUUCGGAAUAACUCAGGGAAACUUGUGCUAAUACCGAAUGUGCCCUUCGGGGGAAAGAUUUAUCGCCUUUAGAGCGGCCCGCGGCUGAUUAGCUAGUUGGUGAGGUAAAGGCUCACCAAGGCGACGAUCAGUAGCUGGUCUGAGAGGAUGAUCAGCCACAUUGGGACUGAGACACGGCCCAAACUCCUACGGGAGGCAGCAGUGGGGAAUCUUGCGCAAUGGGCGAAAGCCUGACGCAGCCAUGCCGCGUGAAUGAUGAAGGUCUUAGGAUUGUAAAAUUCUUUCACCGGGGACGAUAAUGACGGUACCCGGAGAAGAAGCCCCGGCUAACUUCGUG